CAGUUCGGAUUGUAGUCUGCAACCCGACUACAUGAAGCUGGAAUCGCUAGUAAUCGCAGAUCAGAAUGCUGCGGUGAAUACGUUCCCGGGUCUUGUACACACCGCCCGUCACACCAUGGGAGUUGGAAAUGCCCGAAGCCAGUGACCCAACCGUAAGGAGGGAGCUGUCGAAGGUGGAGCCGAUGACUGGGGUGAAGUCGUAACAAGGUAGC
This 212-nucleotide ribosomal RNA is filed under the name uncultured bacterium. RNAcentral describes it as "partial 16S ribosomal RNA". It matches the Rfam family "Bacterial small subunit ribosomal RNA", at positions 1289 to 1500 of the family's 1533-position model. The record is from RNAcentral.